CUUAGUGGCGAACGGGUGCGUAACACGUGAGAAAUCUGCCCCGAACUUCGGAAUAACAGUUGGAAACGAUUGCUAAUACCGGAUGACGUCGGAGAACCGCAUGGUUCACUGACGAAAGAUAUUUCGGUUUGGGAGGGUCUCGCGGCCUAUCAGCUUGUUGGUGGGGUAAUGGCCUACCAAGGCAACGACGGGUAGCUGGUCUGAGAGGAUGAUCAGCCACACUGGGACUGAGACACGGCCCAGACUCC
This 248-nucleotide ribosomal RNA is filed under the name uncultured bacterium. RNAcentral describes it as "partial 16S ribosomal RNA". It matches the Rfam family "Bacterial small subunit ribosomal RNA", at positions 91 to 339 of the family's 1533-position model. The record is from RNAcentral.